UACGGAGGAUGCGAGCGUUAUCCGGAUUUAUUGGGUUUAAAGGGUGCGUAGGUUGUUUUUUAAGUCAGCGGUGAAAGUUUGUGGCUCAACCAUAAAAUUGCCGUUGAAACUGGAAGACUUGAGUGAAGUAGAGGCAGGCGGAAUUCCAUGUGUAGCGGUGAAAUGCGUAGAGAUAUGGAGGAACACCAGUGGCGAAGGCGGCUUCCUGGUCUGCAACUGACACUGAGGCGCGAAAGCGUGGGGAGCAAACAGG
Molecule: ribosomal RNA, 253 nt
Filed under: uncultured bacterium
Lineage: Bacteria
Description: partial 16S ribosomal RNA
Rfam family: Bacterial small subunit ribosomal RNA
Source: RNAcentral